This is a long non-coding RNA of Drosophila obscura, 524 nucleotides long. RefSeq lists it as uncharacterized. Lineage: Eukaryota; Metazoa; Arthropoda; Insecta; Diptera; Drosophilidae. The transcript is spliced from 2 exons. The record is from RefSeq and is a predicted model, not a curated record.
UUGGGGGACGAACUCCGAUGUGGCUGCUAUAACCGUAGCCGCACAAAUGACUUCGACUCCGACGUCGACGCUGGCGUUGCUGUGGACGUUGACGCUGCUCCAGCGAUUCGUUACGUUAUGUGCCUACCCGCUCCCUCCCUCAUGCACACCCCACCAUCAGUCACAAAGAACAAACGCAACCCGUUGGUGUUGUUGCUCUUGCUGUUGUUGCUUGCUGUCGCCAAAAGUGAGCAAACCCCAGGCCUGAGGAGAAGAAAGAAAGCAGCAAGAAAUCUUUCUACUGCCGCGAGCGCAAAAGCAAAGCGUGUGAUUGCUCCUGAAAGCCCAAACAGUGUGCUCGUGUGUGUGUGUGCCAAGAUUAACUGUGUAUUGGUCGUGCUCGACUUGGUGCUAGCAUGGAGGCGACUUAAGCAACUUCCCUAGUGCCCUUCCUACGUUAAAGAAAUCUCCCAUCUCUCUCCACUUCCGAAUGAACCUGUCCAAACUAUUCAUACUGCUUAUACAAUUAUAUUUAUUUAUAUUUA